This 77-nucleotide transfer RNA is filed under the name Geminicoccaceae bacterium. Its description in RNAcentral is "tRNA-Arg". It matches the Rfam family "tRNA". From Rfam's summary of the family: Transfer RNA (tRNA) molecules are approximately 80 nucleotides in length. Their secondary structure includes four short double-helical elements and three loops (D, anti-codon, and T loops). The record is from RNAcentral. Lineage: Bacteria; Pseudomonadati; Pseudomonadota; Alphaproteobacteria; Geminicoccales; Geminicoccaceae.
GCGCCCGUAGCUCAGCAGGAUAGAGCACCAGAUUCCUAAUCUGGGGGUCACAGGUUCGAGUCCUGUCGGGCGCGCCA